CAGCAGCCACGGGAAUACGUAGGUGGCAAGCGUUAUCCGGAAUUAUUGGGCGUAAAGCGCGCGUAGGCGGUUUUUUAAGUCUGAUGUGAAAGCCCACGGCUCAACCGUGGAGGGUCAUUGGAAACUGGAAAACUUGAGUGCAGAAGAGGAAAGUGGAAUUCCAUGUGUAGCGGUGAAAUGCGCAGAGAUAUGGAGGAACACCAGUGGCGAAGGCGACUUUCUGGUCUGUAACUGACGCUGAUGUGCGAAAGCGUGGGGAUCAAACAGGAUUAGAUACCCUGGUAGUCCCUGUCUCUUAUAC
Molecule: ribosomal RNA, 301 nt
Filed under: uncultured bacterium
Lineage: Bacteria
Description: partial 16S ribosomal RNA
Rfam family: Bacterial small subunit ribosomal RNA
Source: RNAcentral